This 497-nucleotide ribosomal RNA is filed under the name uncultured bacterium. RNAcentral's name for it is "partial 16S ribosomal RNA". It matches the Rfam family "Bacterial small subunit ribosomal RNA", at positions 28 to 507 of the family's 1533-position model. The record is from RNAcentral.
GAUGAACGCUGGCGGCGUGCCUAAUACAUGCAAGUCGAGCGAACAGACGCUGCGCUUGCUCCUCUGACGUUAGCGGCGGACGGGUGAGUAACACGUGUAUCCCCUCCCUAUAUUUCUGGUAUAUUCUGGGGAAUCGGGCGCUAAUCCGGGAUAAGCUCUUGAUCCGCGGGGUUGAUUGGUGAAUUUCGGUUUUUCUGUCACUUAUCGCGGGUUCUCCACCGCAUGGGCUGGUUGGGAAGGUAACGGCUUACCACGGCAACGAGGGGUAGACGACCUGCGAGGGGGAUCGGCGGCACGGGAAGUGGAACAGGGUCAAGACUACUACGGGAGGCAGCAGUAGGGAAUCUUCCGCAAUGGGCGAAAGCAUGACGGAGCAACGCGGCGUGAGUGAUGAAGGUGUUCGGAUCGUAAAACUGUGUUAUGAGGGAAGAACAAAUGUGUAAGUAACUAUGCACGUCGUGACGGUACCUAAUAAGAAAGCCACGGCUAACUACGUG